CCAACAACAUUAGCCAAAAUAAAAUAAAAGAAGAGUACUACAGGACCGAUUUCUCAUUUCCUCCCAAACCUUGAAGAGUACUCUUGCCAGCACGCCAUCGCCAAUCGGAGCACCCAUCACCGGUUGGAGAGCCGGUAGUCACCUGACGAAGAAGAGGGGAAAAGUGGAAAAAAAGGAACUUAAUUUUCUCCUAUUAAUGAUUUUGUAAAGAAAUUAAUAAGGUAUUUUGAGAAUUUUGAGACACCCAAGAGAUCUUAAUUUCUUUUCCUUUCAAGUUCUCCAAAGACAGGUAAGAUCUUGUGAUUCUUUAUUAGCCACCUCCAUAUGAUCAUAUUUAUUCAUUAGGCUUCGCAGAAAUUUUUCAAUAACCUUUUAGGUUUUCAAAAUUUCUAUACUUGAUGCCAUAGAAUUUGAAAUGGAACUCUAGUAUACUGGAAUCUCAGUUGCUUGAUAUAUUUGGCAGGGUGAAUCGCGUCUUUUUGUGUCUUAUUCUUUAGGAGAUUUGUAUGUGCUUUAGAUAAUUGAUUUUCAUUUUCUGGUUGUUUGUAUUCCUUCAACAAUAUUUCAUAAAUAAUGAGAUUCAAGACACAAUUCAUUAGAUUAAUUUAAUAAUAAAGAUUUCACCAUUAAAACGAGUCACGAGAGAAAUGAGAUUAUUGUUUGACAUUAUUUAUCUUUUCUUGGCUCUGAUAGUAGUUAGUAGAAAAGAAGGCUUGGUAGAUAUCUUAUUAUUAUUAUUAUUAUUAUUAUUAUUAUUAUUAUUAUUAUAAAUUGCCUUUGCAAAAUAAUAAAGAUUUUGGUAAAUCAAUGUGCAUGUUCUAUCUUUAAGAAGUCUCCUCCAAUUACUAAGUCAAGUAUUGGAAUUCUAUAAAACAUUUGACUAAACAAGUACAUGAUUAUUCUAGGAAAUUUAAUAGUCAAAAUUUGGUUUAUUAUUCCAACAUAUAUAUUAUGCUUGUUUUGUUUUGGAGUCACUCCAAAGCCUAGCAACAAUUCAUAUUUGUAAUGUAGCUAUUUUAAUUAAUCUAGACUUGCCAAGGAGUCCCAGUCCCUUUUGAGUGUGGUGGAAAAAAAAUUCACAAAACAAGAGCCAAGAGCUUGGGUUUUGGUGAAAAGAAACAAAGGGCAUCUGUUAUGGUUGAUGUGUGUCGGAAGUGUUGUGCUGUGAUUUUGUAUAAUUCCUUUUGAAAAAGUACUCUUCAUUAGCUUAUCUAGUUGGGUAUUUGUAGUUUCUGGAUUUCUUGAAUUGAUGAGAUGACUGACUUCACACAGGUUAUAUGUUUUUUAUUCCCAUCGUAGAAUGCUCGGAAGGAACUCCGGAAUCUAUCAUAGUUGUAGAGUUAAGGAUCAUUUGUUUGCCGAAUGCAAAAAGAAACGCCCUUGCCCACGAUGUAAGUAUGGAUUUGAAAAAUGUUUUGUGGUAAAGAAGGAAAAUCACAAUAAGGGGAAACUAGUCCUUUGCUACAGCCGGAAUUGUGGAUUUUGGGUAUGGGUUGUGAAAGAAGACUCAAGCGGUCAAUGUAGUCGUGAUAGCGCGACAUUCCCUAACCCCGUGAUGAAUGACACUAAUGAAGAAAUGUCCCGCAUGUUCAAAUAUUGGGUAAGGAUAAGUGACGAAGAAGAGUUUCAGAUUUUGGUUAACGUGAGCAUCAAGAAGGAGAAAAUUGUUGCAAAUGUGGACGCUAAAGGGAAGCGGCCGACUUGACUUGAAGAUACUUAUCGAAGUGGCUAGCCUAAUUUUCUCAAUUAAAACUGAAUCAGCUUGUCCUUAUUAUUUGUGAAGGUUGAAAGUCUUGUAUGUGAUGAAUUAAGUAAAGUAGUUGAGCUUUGUGGUGCGAGGUUGUAUAUCAUGACAUCUUGGUAUCAAAACAAACAUCUUUUGUAGGCAAACAUUUGUACUCUCGCGACUUACUUACAGUUUUUGUAUGGUAAUUAAUUUAUUUAAUACCUUUCCAUUCAAAUUGUUUAUGUAUUCCAAGUUCACAAGCUUAAAUGAAGGCAGACAUUGGUUGCCUAUAAUAUACGAAGCCCAGGUUCCUUAUAAUUUGG
Molecule: long non-coding RNA, 2049 nt
Filed under: Olea europaea subsp. europaea
Lineage: Eukaryota; Viridiplantae; Streptophyta; Magnoliopsida; Lamiales; Oleaceae
Source: RNAcentral